GGUGCAUCUUGCUUAUGAAGCACAAGUUCGAAUCUAUUGAAAUAUUCAAAUGAUUUCAUAAUGAGGUAGAAAAAUAAACUGUAAAAAGUAUUAGAACUCAUUAGUUAGACUGAUGAAGUGAAUACCUUUACAGUAAGUUUUGACAUAUCUAGGAGAGAAUUUGAUUCUCUCUUAAUGGACUUCUCCAGGGAUACCACUAUUUAAAAGGGUGUCUGAAAAGAAAAAUCGAACUUUGUUAGACAUGGUUCGAUCCAUUGUGGGUUUGCUGGUCUGCCUGAGGUU
This 282-nucleotide long non-coding RNA is filed under the name Elaeis guineensis (African oil palm). RNAcentral describes it as "long non-coding RNA (EGUI_LNC049516)". Lineage: Eukaryota; Viridiplantae; Streptophyta; Magnoliopsida; Arecales; Arecaceae. The record is from RNAcentral.